AGUCCUCCCUCAUCCGCAGUUUCGUUACUUCCGACAGGACACAGACGAUUCUCCUGACGAAUCAUCAGAGGGUCAACAGUAGCCUAGCGCUGCGUCACAGUGCCUGCGUCAUUUUCUUCGCUUCAUCUCAUCACAUAGGUAUUUUACCGUCUCACAUCGUCAUAAGAAAAGGGGAGAUACAGUAAAAGCUCAUACUGUCUGUAUAAUGCUUCCACAAGCACAAGUCCUUGGCGCUGCUGAUUCUGCUGGGCUUGAGCUAACGUUGAAGAGCAUUUAAACAAACAUUGUGUCACUUCCUAAUGGCCAUCAUAGACUCAAAUGUUUGCAGAUCUAAAAAAGAGAGAAGAGAGAGAAGUCAGAGAAGCCGCAAGAAGGGAAUAUUGAAGGAGGAAGCAGCAGUUUUGUCAAAUCUUUUAAGCCUGAGAAAAAUGAAGACCAGAAGUUUGGCACCAUGGAGGUCAAAGAUGCCCAUAGCUGGGACCAGGCUU
Neofelis nebulosa (Clouded leopard) is the source of this 488-nucleotide long non-coding RNA. RefSeq lists it as uncharacterized. The record is from RefSeq and is a predicted model, not a curated record. The transcript is spliced from 5 exons. Lineage: Eukaryota; Metazoa; Chordata; Mammalia; Carnivora; Felidae.